Nycticebus coucang (slow loris) is the source of this 317-nucleotide long non-coding RNA. RefSeq lists it as uncharacterized. Lineage: Eukaryota; Metazoa; Chordata; Mammalia; Primates; Lorisidae. The record is from RefSeq and is a predicted model, not a curated record. The transcript is spliced from 3 exons.
UUAGCGGGGAGGUCUUGCUAUGUUGCCUGGUCUGAUCAUCUCAAAGACAUCCUCCAGCCUCAGCCUGCUGAGUAGCUGGGACUGACUACAGUGUCUACUCUACAACGUUGGCACUUAAUUCAUCAAAUCCAAAAUUAUUCAAUACAGUUUUCUGAAGGGGAUUUGGCAUUAAAGCCCUGAUGAGCUCAUCAGAGCACCAUGUGCUUACCCAGGCUGACCUGCUGGAGGAUGAGAAACCAUGUGGAGAGAGGCUCCAGUUGUUUCAGCUGUGCCAGCCAAGGGGCCUGAAGGAGCGAACCUGAGAACAACCAUCCCAG